GCCGGGUGUAGUGGCACACGCCUGUAAUCCCAGCUACUUGGGAGGCUGAGGCAGGAGAAUCACUUGAACCCGGGAGGUAGGGGUUGCAGUGAGCUGAGAUUGUGCCACUGCACUCUAGCCUGGGUGACAGAGUGAGACUCUGUCUCAA
Unclassified non-coding RNA from Macaca fascicularis (crab-eating macaque), 148 nucleotides. It matches the Rfam family "Metazoan signal recognition particle RNA". From Rfam's summary of the family: The signal recognition particle (SRP) is a universally conserved ribonucleoprotein. It is involved in the co-translational targeting of proteins to membranes. The record is from Ensembl. Lineage: Eukaryota; Metazoa; Chordata; Mammalia; Primates; Cercopithecidae.